This 72-nucleotide transfer RNA is filed under the name Alligator mississippiensis (American alligator). It matches the Rfam family "tRNA". From Rfam's summary of the family: Transfer RNA (tRNA) molecules are approximately 80 nucleotides in length. Their secondary structure includes four short double-helical elements and three loops (D, anti-codon, and T loops). Further hydrogen bonds mediate the characteristic L-shaped molecular structure. tRNAs have two regions of fundamental functional importance: the anti-codon, which is responsible for specific mRNA codon recognition, and the 3' end, to which the tRNAs corresponding amino acid is attached (by aminoacyl-tRNA synthetases). tRNAs cope with the degeneracy of the genetic code in two manners: having more than one tRNA (with a specific anti-codon) for a particular amino acid; and 'wobble' base-pairing, i.e. permitting non-standard base-pairing at the 3rd anti-codon position. The record is from Rfam by way of RNAcentral. Lineage: Eukaryota; Metazoa; Chordata; Crocodylia; Alligatoridae.
GAAGAUGUAGCUCAGUAGUAGAGUGAAUGCUUUGCAUGUAUGAAGUCCUGGGCUCAGUCUCCAGCAUCUCCA